AACAAUACAAAACGAAACAUUACUUUUCUUGAAUUUAUUACAUAUAUUUUAUAGAAAGAGCCAUAUGGUUGCUUAACAUAAAGGUACAGAGAAUUGCGUAAGCCAUAAAAGGAGGUUCUAUUCAAUACUUUGUCUGCGCUGUGAGAUCUCUUCGCUUUGUUAGUGAGAAAUAUUUCUAUGAUUCGUGCUGUAUGACAAUAAUUUUCUUGGAAUAGGAUUCGCUAUAUCAGUAAAUUGACAUGCUGUAUUUAUAAGAAGUAUAAAAAAAAAUAGAUUCUAUUAGAUACGCACUAGAUUAGAUUACGUUAAUGUGGUUCAGUAGUCAAAUACUAAAAUAUAUAUUCAGUAUAUUUCUGUAUUAAUACAAUUUAGUUUUUUCAUUAUGUAGGUAACGCUAAUAAAUCAAUUUUAAUAUAAUUAAAAACCUUAAUAGCCAACAUAGCGUUUUCAAUAAUAUAAUAUAUAAAUCCAUAUUAUUCGAAAACAAGGAAAUUUUUCAGUAUGGCAUGGAUUCGAAGAGUUCGAAAAGUUUUAGAACAGAUACAAUAUAAGCGUAUACCAUAUAUGUAUAUACAACAUACAUGUGCCUAGAAAUAUAAUAUUACCUUUAUGUAUACUCUGGAUCACACAUAACCUAAACUAUGAUAAUCCCGCAGUUGUGCCUGUGGAAAAUUAUCCGCCGGACCAUGGACCCAAUGUCCAAAACAUUGGCUGUUUAAGAAUUUACUUAAUAUGGAAAAAAAAAUUAGCUACACAAUUAUUUUCUCAAAAUUCCUAAUCUAUCCUACGUAAACAUUUUAUCAUUGUUCCAUUGAAGCAAUAAUGAUUAAUGUUACGAGUCCACGACUAACAAUGAUUCAUUUGGACGAUGCCCCAGCUUAUUAUGAAUUCAUCCAAACAUGACUAUAAAUAAUUAAAGGCAGCUCGAAUUAACUAUAUUGGAUGGAAACAUGCGAAACAAUUUCAUUGAGAAAUUCGAGAAGCAACGAGAUUACGAGACAAAACCGGGACGUACAAUCCGUAUAAGCAUCAGCUACGGUUUAUUGUGUAAGACACGAGUAAAAAACAAGGUCAACCGUGCUCAUUCAAGUAAGAAGUUAAAACACACACAAAAAAAUGUACGGAUUUUCUCGGAAUUUUUAAACUGGUAUGUCAUUUUGUCACGAGGUCCGGCUACUUCGCUGCGUCGUCGUGACAGCCGCGACAACGAAUUCACGAGAAUGGUAGGUGUGAUUUCAUCAUCCGGACCGCUUUCGAGCAAUUGUUGCUGUGUAGUUUCGCUUGAUCCCGUCACACAAUACGGGCACAAUGUAAAACCGUUCUUUGUUUAGGUACAUAAUAUAUACUGUUGUGUGUGUGGAGUGUGUGCAAUCGAUUUCCGUGCGCACAGUGCUAUGUGCGUUUUAGAAUAUGUAUUUGAUAAUAUUUACGGUAAAUUAAUUGGCUUCAAUGGCUUUUGAUGUAGAUAUGCUUAUCGCUUUAACUGUUGAUUCACUCGUUCAUUCCGUUUUUAAUAGCCUACGUUGAGAUACCAGUUCGGCGACCGACGAAGAUCUCUUAUGAUUUUUGUAUCGAAUGUUCCAUGAAGCGUUCUCUGAGGAAUUGUUCGAGUUGUCAUUGUAUUGCUACCACUGUACCCUCCAUCGGAGAAGAUUUGUUCCUUUUUAGCCGAAGCCCAUAGACAUCUACGACGUAAAUGCCGCCACCCACCUUGAGAUCUGAGUUCUAAGUCUCAGAUUUUUUAACAGUACAAGGGCUGCCCUACCCUUCAAACCAAAACGCAUUACUGCUUCACGGCUGAAAAAGGCAGUGUGGUGGUACCUACCCGUCCGGGAACACAAGAUAUUCUACCACCAGUUAUUACGAUGUUAUCCGUGGAAGUCAAUCGUGAACAUUUGUGAAGUACGUAUUUCAUUAGAAAAAUUGGUACCCGUCUGCGGGAUUCGAAUAUCAGCACAUACAUAUACCGCAAGCCACGAUUAUUUCAUGGCGGUACAUUGCUGGGGGCAUGCUGAUACCAAACUGAACAGUGGAAAAUGAAAUCUAGACGCAUGUCACAGAACCAAGAAUUUCAUUAAUAUGAAAUGUUUAGCUAAACAUAGCUAAUCAGAUGACUAAGCAGACACCAAUGGAGAAGGAGAUCCUUACGCGGAAUUGGCAUUGGAUUGGUCACACUUUGAGAAAGUCCGAUACCCACCUAUCAAAGAGAGCUCUGAUCUGGAAAGUGUCUGGCAAAAGGAAGAGAGGCCGCCCCAGAACAACUUGGCGUCGCUCGGUGGAGCAGGAGCUAGGGGUCUUGGGCAUGACGUGGGAGGAAUUAGAACAGACUGCCCAAGACCGAUCUAAAUAAAAAAAUUUGAUUCGAGCCCUACACCCCAGCAGAGGGUAAUAGGAAAGAAUGAUGAUGAUGAUGAAACAUAGCUAUCAUACGAUUCAUAAAUGAUUCUUAUCUACUUAGUAAAUCGAAAUAAACGCAAUACGAUACGAAUUGCGAUCAGCUGGUUACCACGAGACACGAGUAGCUACUUCACUGUGUCGCCGAGCAAAACGAUGAGUCAAUGACACUGUAAACGUUUAACGCGUUAUCUUAUCUACGCAAUUCCAUAUUAAAAUAAAUCGAUAAAGAUC
Molecule: long non-coding RNA, 2628 nt
Organism: Bombyx mori (domestic silkworm)
Lineage: Eukaryota; Metazoa; Arthropoda; Insecta; Lepidoptera; Bombycidae
Exons: 2
Source: RefSeq, a predicted model, not a curated record